GAUGAACGCUGGCGGCGUGCCUAAUACAUGCAAGUCGAGCGAACGGACGAGAAGCUUGCUUCUCUGAUGUUAGCGGCGGACGGGUGAGUAACACGUGGAUAACCUACCUAUAAGACUGGGAUAACUUCGGGAAACCGUAGCUAAUACCGGAUAAUAUUUUGAACCGCAUGGUUCAAAAGUGAAAGACGGUCUUGCUGUCACUUAUAGAUGGAUCCGCGCUGCAUUAGCUAGUUGGUAAGGUAACGGCUUACCAAGGCAACGAUGCAUAGCCGACCUGAGAGGGGGUAGGCCCACCUGGAACUUGAGAGGCGGCCCGGCGCCCAAGGGGAGGCACAGGUAGGGAAUCUUCGGAAAAGGGGGAAAGCCUGACGAAGCAACGCAGGGUGGUUGAAGAAGGGCUGCGGAUGGUAAAACGCUUUUUUUGGGGAAAAACAAUUGUGAAAGUAACGGUGCAAGUCUUAACGGAACCGAAAAAGAAGCCCCCGGCAAACUACGG
RNAcentral lists this ribosomal RNA (496 nucleotides) under uncultured bacterium. Its description in RNAcentral is "partial 16S ribosomal RNA". It matches the Rfam family "Bacterial small subunit ribosomal RNA", at positions 28 to 506 of the family's 1533-position model. The record is from RNAcentral.